Long non-coding RNA from Lolium rigidum, 2187 nucleotides. RefSeq lists it as uncharacterized. NCBI's taxonomy places the organism in Eukaryota, Viridiplantae, Streptophyta, Magnoliopsida, Poales, Poaceae. The transcript has 4 exons. The record is from RefSeq and is a predicted model, not a curated record.
UCCACGGCGCCGCAGAUGUGAUGCAAACCAGACGGGAGAUGAGGGCACCAGCCAAGCCGGAGCGUCGACUCUGCGAGCUCUAGAAGCAGCGGCGGCGCCGGAUUUCGCGGAGGUAGCGGAAGUUCUGAUGCCUUGACUCCAGAUGCCGCUACCCCUCUCUCCGAUUCGCCGCCAUCGCCGGGGUCAUACAAAAACAGGGCAUGCAAUAUCGAAGCAGAAGAGUGGAGACGGACAUUCCACCUGUUAUCUCUCCCGAAGCGCCGGCAUCACCGCAUACGUUGGAGAAUAGGUCAUACGAUAACCAGGAGGAACAACUGAUGCCUGAGGAUUCCCAUGUUCGCGGAUCAGAAUCGCCCGAGUCGACACAUCUAUGGAAGAGGAGGUCUGUUGUAUUAUUUGUUUUUAAGUGUAUCGUUCAUGCUGGUCCUAUACGUGUGGCAGCUUUUUUUCAUACGUGUUUAGUUUUCAGCAUGUAUAGAUAGACAGGUAGUGCUCUAUUGUAAGCAUCCCAGUAGGGCUGGUUGCGAUACUGGGUUUGCCUUGUUUUUAAGUACUAAGUUGAAUAGUCAGUUGUAGAACAAUGGAUAGUCAAACAUUCCGUUAUUCAAAUCAAGUUAAUAACUGAUCGAGUUCUCCUCGGAGAAGCAAGAUAGCAUCUAAGAGCUCAAAUGCUUAUGAUAUUUUUGAGCAAAUAGAUGCAGCCUAAUAGUACACGCCGCUGCCGCCGCCUCGAUCCUACAUGCAGUGGGCCUCCACGAGCCAGCACGCGACGUCUCCUCGUGAGUCUGCCCGCUGCUAUGUACCGCAAACCGCUGACCUGAUCAGAGACCACGGCGGCUGAUGGUAAAUGUUUCCGCUCCGUUGGCGAGCUCCACCGAUGCCUCUGAUGACAACAAAUUCGUUCUCCCAGCAUGAAGGACGAGAUAAUCCGCACUACCUAAACAACUAGAUAGCCUGUGGCGGUCUGGGAGGCGCCUCCCUGCACCAGCACCUCGAAGCCAAUGCCUCAAGCUCCUUCCCGAUGGUAGCCCCAUCCAGAGCACCACGCAUCAUUAUUGGACAAAACUACUGAUACUAUUUAUCGUCGUUUCUUUUGUUGAUUCAAUGGCUGACGGAAAUACUGAUUAUUUUUGUUUUGUGUAAGUACUAGCACAGGUUGAUAAAUGGAGCACGGUGGCUCUGCCAAUCCCCCAUUAGGUUUCACUCUCAUUUGCCCUUGUGAUGAUUCCAUUUUGUUUCCGGAGAUUUUCCUUGAUCAGCGAUGUUUCUUUAUUCUCUUGCUUCUUAUUAUUGUGACUAGGUUUACUUUGAAUCAACUGAAACUUGUUGAUCAUGAAUAGGCAAUGGUUGGUCAUCUAUCGUAUUGUGCACUCAUUAAAUCAGUAUCAACUUGCAGUACUAGGAUGGUAAGAUUAGUAUUUCAGUUUUAUUCUGUUCUAGAAGAAUGGAGAUUUUUAUUCUUGUCGCGUUCGGUUUGAGCGGGGUGUGCUCCGCCUGGUCAUCGACGAGUACUGGUUGCCAUGGACUGGUCAGAGGUGAGCGGUGUGCAUGUAUAUUUUUUUUGCCGUAAUUCUUCUCUGGAAUUGGUCUAUGCAAUCCUUCAAAUUGCAUGCCUAGAAGAAAUGUACCGAGAGCUUGGUGAUGGAUGUUCAUUACCGAGGAAAAAUGAUCCGUCCAAUUAUAUAGAGCUACACUGCAGGUACUAUUUAGAAAAGCUCAUUGGGAGUCCAGAGCUGAGGUACUGAGUUAACCAGUAAACUUUUGAAGUCUUUUUACAUAGUUAUUAGUAUAGACUAUUGGAAUAUUUUUAAAUAGUUAUUAGUAUAGACAGAAGUUUAUCUUACACUGUUUUCUUGCUCUAUUUUUCUCCAUGGAACAGGUUUACAGAUGUACUUUAUGACAUGUCAAAGAGGUCCAAGAGCCUUUGUUGAAAUAGCAUGCCAACUGAUAUCUAUACUCAGGAGCAAUAGGAGUCAUUCCCAAUACCUUUUGAACUCUUGGAAGUUGUCAGAAAUAGAACUAAAAAAAUCCCAGGAUAAAAGUAAAGAAUCUGAACCCAUUAAGAUUUUAAACUAGAAUUAGCUUAUUUGGACUAGAAUUUGCAAUUUGCUGCUAAUUCAGUUUCAUAUUUUUAUGGUACUUGUGAAGGAUAUAAAAUAUAUUUGGAGAACUUAAUUAAAAUUUAUA